This is a long non-coding RNA of Sinocyclocheilus grahami, 91 nucleotides long. RefSeq lists it as uncharacterized. The transcript has 3 exons. The record is from RefSeq and is a predicted model, not a curated record. Lineage: Eukaryota; Metazoa; Chordata; Actinopteri; Cypriniformes; Cyprinidae.
AGUUAAAGCCGGGGGAAUGGCAAAAUCCCAGCAAACAGCCGCAGUAGUCAACUCAGAAGAAAACAGCCGAGAGAGAGAAGAAGAAGGAGAG